CUCGUAGGUGGCUCCGUAAGUCAGAGGUGAAAUACAAUGGCUCAACCAUUGACGCGCCUUUGAAACUACGGAACUUGAGUUCGGGAGAGGAAAGUGGAAUUCCUGGAGUAGCGGUGAAAUGCGUAGAUAUCAGGAGGAACACCAGUGGCGAAGGCGACUUUCUGGACCGAUACUGACACUGAGGAGCGAAAGCUAGGGGAGCGAACA
RNAcentral lists this ribosomal RNA (207 nucleotides) under uncultured bacterium. RNAcentral describes it as "partial 16S ribosomal RNA". It matches the Rfam family "Bacterial small subunit ribosomal RNA", at positions 568 to 774 of the family's 1533-position model. The record is from RNAcentral.